RNAcentral lists this ribosomal RNA (409 nucleotides) under uncultured cyanobacterium. Its description in RNAcentral is "bacterial SSU rRNA". It matches the Rfam family "Bacterial small subunit ribosomal RNA", at positions 370 to 795 of the family's 1533-position model. The record is from RNAcentral. Lineage: Bacteria; Bacillati; Cyanobacteriota.
CAUGGGCGAAGCCUGACGGAGCAAUACCGCGUGAGGGAGGAAGGCUCUUGAGUUGUAAACCUCUUUUCUUAGGGAAGAAGCUCUGACGGUACCUAAGGAAUAAGCAUCGGCUAACUCCGUGCCAGCAGCCGCGGUAAUACGGAGGAUGCAAGCGUUAUCCGGAAUCAUUGGGCGUAAAGCGUCCGUAGGUGGCAGUUCAAGUCUGCUGUUAAAGGCUGGGGCUUAACCCCAGACAGGCAGUGGAAACUGAACAGCUAGAGUGUGGUAGGGGUAGAGGGAAUUCCCGGUGUAGCGGUGAAAUGCGUAGAUAUCGGGAAGAACACCGGUGGCGAAAGCGCUCUGCUGGACCACAACUGACACUGAGGGACGAAAGCUAGGGGAGCGAAUGGGAUUAGAUACCCCAGUAGUC